This is a long non-coding RNA of Cannabis sativa, 710 nucleotides long. RefSeq lists it as uncharacterized. The record is from RefSeq and is a predicted model, not a curated record. The transcript is spliced from 2 exons. Lineage: Eukaryota; Viridiplantae; Streptophyta; Magnoliopsida; Rosales; Cannabaceae.
UCCAGAGUUAGAAUAACCCAUUAAGAGCAUAGAAGAACUUAGGGUUUCGGUUUUGGGUUUCCCGGGAUUAGGGUUUUAAUCAUGUAACUUACCCGGUUUCAAAAUGUGAUUAGGGCAUCCAUCUAGCACGAGAUUUCCGUUCAGGUCGGCCAGCAUACUUGAAUUCGGAAAUCAGAUAAGAACUGUGUAUAAUGUGUGAUAUGGAUAUUCGAAUGUAUGUAUGUGUUAAUGUAUAUACAUGCUUAUUUGUUGUGAUUCAUACACUACCAACACUUGUACGGUUGCGGUACAAAGUGCAUUGGUAAGGUGUAAAAUGUUUGGAAGUACAUCACGGUGUUACCAGCACUUGUACGAGAAGGUACAAGGUGUCUGUGGUACAACACUUGACGGUACUCAAAGUGCGAUCCAUACCCUACCUACACUAGUACGAUGGUAUACUGAGUGCAUGUGGUACAUGGUAAAGGAAAGGCGAAGGCUGAACAGGAGUGAACCUGAGCUCGGGUGGGAUUGUACAUGUCAAAGCAGCGCGACCUGGAGUGUUCGGUCUCGGGACAUCUGGGGAUUGUAUUUUGAUAGUCGCUGUGCGACCUGUAAUAAAUACAUAUUUUGAAAAGUUAAUUUUACAAAGUUUGAAAACGGGAUCCCGGCACUUGUAAAUAUUUUAUUAUAUUACAAAGUUUAAUAUUUAAUGCAAAAGUUUUAAUUUGACA